GUUUGAUCCUGGCUCAGGAACGAACGCUGGCGGCGUGCUUAACACAUGCAAGUCGAGCGGAAAGGCCACUUCGGUGGUACUCGAGCGGCGAACGGGUGAGUAACACGUGAGUAAUCUGCCCUCCACUUUGGGAUAGCCACCGGAAACGGUGAUUAAUACCGGAUAUGACCAUUUCUCGCAUGGGUUUUGGUGGAAAGUUUUUCGGUGGGGGAUGUGCUCGCGGCCUAUCAGCUUGAUGGUGGGGUAAUGGCCUACCAUGGCUUCGACGGGUAGCCGGCCUGAGAGGGUGACCGGCCACACUGGGACUGAGACACGGCCCAGACUCCUACGGGAGGCAGCAGUGGGGAAUAUUGGACAAUGGGCGGAAGCCUGAUCCAGCAACGCCGCGUGAGGGAUGACAGCCUUCGGGUUGUAAACCUCUUUCAGCACAGACGAAGCGAAAGUGACGGUAUGUGCAGAAGAAGCACCGGCCAACUACGUGCCAGCAGCCGCGGUAAUACGUAGGGUGCGAGCGUUGUCCGGAAUUAUUGGGCGUAAAGGGCUCGUAGGCGGUUUGUCGCGUCGGGAGUGAAAACACACAGCUUAACUGUGUGCUUGCUUCCGAUACGGGCAGACUAGAGGUAUGCAGGGGAGAACGGGAUUCCUGGUGUAGCGGUGAAAUGCGCAGAUAUCAGGAGGAACACCGGUGGCGAAGGCGGUUCUCUGGGCAUUACCUGACGCUGAGGAGCGAAAGUGUGGGGAGCGAACAGGAUUAGAUACCCUGGUAGUCCACACCGUAAACGUUGGGCGCUAGGUGUGGGGCCUAUUCCAUGGGUUCCGUGCCGCAGCUAACGCAUUAAGCGCCCCGCCUGGGGAGUACGGCCGCAAGGCUAAAACUCAAAGGAAUUGACGGA
RNAcentral lists this ribosomal RNA (893 nucleotides) under uncultured bacterium. RNAcentral describes it as "bacterial SSU rRNA". It matches the Rfam family "Bacterial small subunit ribosomal RNA", at positions 11 to 917 of the family's 1533-position model. The record is from RNAcentral.